This 503-nucleotide ribosomal RNA is filed under the name uncultured beta proteobacterium. Its description in RNAcentral is "bacterial SSU rRNA". It matches the Rfam family "Bacterial small subunit ribosomal RNA", at positions 362 to 858 of the family's 1533-position model. Lineage: Bacteria; Pseudomonadati; Pseudomonadota; Betaproteobacteria. The record is from RNAcentral.
UUUUGGACAAUGGGCGAAAGCCUGAUCCAGCAAUGCCGCGUGUGUGAAGAAGGCCUUCGGGCUGUAAAGCACUUUUGUCCGGAAAGAAAUCCUUGGUUCUAAUAUAGCCGGGGGAUGACGGUACCGGAAGAAUAAGCACCGGCUAACUACGUGCCAGCAGCCGCGGUAAUACGUAGGGUGCGAGCGUUAAUCGGAAUUACUGGGCGUAAAGCGUGCGCAGGCGGUUUGCUAAGACCGAUGUGAAAUCCCCGGGCUCAACCGGGGAACUGCAUUGGUGACUGGCAGGCUAGAGUAUGGCAGAGGGGGGUAGAAUUCCACGCGUAGCAGUGAAAUGCGUAGAGAUGUGGAGGAAUACCGAUGGCGAAGGCAGCCCCCUGGGCCAAUACUGACGCUCAUGCACGAAAGCGUGGGGAGCAAACAGGAUUAGAUACCCUGGUAGUCCACGCCCUAAACGAUGUCAACUAAUUGUUGGGGAUUCAUUUCCUUAGUAACGUAGCUAACGC